AUUGAACGCUGGCGGCAUGCUUUACACAUGCAAGUCGAACGGCAGCGCGGGCUUCGGCCUGGCGGCGAGUGGCGAACGGGUGAGUAAUACAUCGGAACGUGCCCAGUAGUGGGGGAUAGCUCGGCGAAAGCCGGAUUAAUACCGCAUACGACCUGAGGGUGAAAGCGGGGGAUCUUCGGACCUCGCGCUAUUGGAGCGGCCGAUGGCAGAUUAGCUAGUUGGUGGGGUAAAGGCCUACCAAGGCGACGAUCUGUAGCUGGUCUGAGAGGACGACCAGCCACACUGGGACUGAGACACGGCCCAGACGCCUACGGGAGGCAGCAGUGGGGAAUUUUGGACAAUGGGCGAAAGCCUGAUCCAGCAAUGCCGCGUGUGUGAUGAAGGCCUUCGGGUUGUAAAGCACUUUUGGCGGGAACGAAAAGGACUGUGCCAAUACCACGGUUCGAUGACGGUACCCGCAGAAUAAGCACCGGCGAACUACGU
RNAcentral lists this ribosomal RNA (483 nucleotides) under uncultured bacterium. Its description in RNAcentral is "partial 16S ribosomal RNA". It matches the Rfam family "Bacterial small subunit ribosomal RNA", at positions 29 to 506 of the family's 1533-position model. The record is from RNAcentral.